UACGAAGGGUGCUAGCGUUGUUCGGAAUUACUGGGCGUAAAGCGCGCGUAGGCGGCCAUUCAAGUCAGAGGUGAAAGCCCGGAGCUUAACUCCGGAACUGCCUUUGAAACUGUAUGGCUUGAGUGUCGGAGGGGAUAGUGGAAUUGCUAAUGUAGAGGUGAAAUUCGUAGAUAUUAGCAGGAACACCGGUGGCGAAGGCGGCUAUCUGGACGACAACUGACGCUGAGGCGCGAAAGCGUGGGAUCAAACAGGG
This 253-nucleotide ribosomal RNA is filed under the name uncultured bacterium. RNAcentral describes it as "partial 16S ribosomal RNA". It matches the Rfam family "Bacterial small subunit ribosomal RNA", at positions 524 to 777 of the family's 1533-position model. The record is from RNAcentral.